UACGUAGGGGGCAAGCGUUGUCCGGAAUCAUUGGGCGUAAAGCGCGCGUAGGCGGCCCGGUAAGUCCGUUGUGAAAGUCAAAGGCUCAACCUUUGAACGCCGAUGGAUACUGCCGGGCUAGAGUCCGGAAGAGGCGAGUGGAAUUCCUGGUGUAGCGGUGGAAUGCGCAGAUAUCAGGAGGAACACCGGUGGCGAAGGCGGUUCUCUGGGCAUUACCUGACGCUGAGGAGCGAAAGUGUGGGGAGCGAACAGG
Molecule: ribosomal RNA, 253 nt
Filed under: uncultured bacterium
Lineage: Bacteria
Description: partial 16S ribosomal RNA
Rfam family: Bacterial small subunit ribosomal RNA
Source: RNAcentral